This 99-nucleotide small RNA is filed under the name Xenorhabdus innexi. Lineage: Bacteria; Pseudomonadati; Pseudomonadota; Gammaproteobacteria; Enterobacterales; Morganellaceae. The record is from RNAcentral.
AGGUAAGUUGUUCUACGUCUCAAUGGCAUUUUAGCGCACGGCUCUCUAACAGAGCCAUUUUCCCUAGGCCGGGUUGAGGAAUAAGCUCGGCCUUUUUUU